Molecule: ribosomal RNA, 253 nt
Filed under: uncultured bacterium
Lineage: Bacteria
Description: partial 16S ribosomal RNA
Rfam family: Bacterial small subunit ribosomal RNA
Source: RNAcentral
UACAGAGGGGGCAAGCGUUGCUCGGAAUUACUGGGCGUAAAGCGCACGUAGGCGGCUUUGUAAGUUAGAGGUGAAAGCCCGGAGCUCAACUCCGGAAUUGCCUUUAAGACUGCAUCGCUAGAAUUGUGGAGAGGUGAGUGGAAUUCCGAGUGUAGAGGUGAAAUUCGUAGAUAUUCGGAAGAACACCAGUGGCGAAGGCGACUCACUGGCCCGGUACUGACGCUGAGGUGCGAAAGCGUGGGGAGCAAACAGG